Molecule: ribosomal RNA, 478 nt
Filed under: uncultured bacterium
Lineage: Bacteria
Description: partial 16S ribosomal RNA
Rfam family: Bacterial small subunit ribosomal RNA
Source: RNAcentral
GACGAACGCUGGCGGCGUGCUUAACACAUGCAAGUCGAACGGUAAGGCCCUUCGGGGUACACGAGUGGCGAACGGGUGAGUAACACGUGGGUGAUCUGCCCUGCACUUCGGGAUAAGCCUGGGAAACUGGGUCUAAUACCGGAUAGGACUCCUGCCUGCAUGGGUGGGGGUGGAAAGCUUCUGCGGUGUGGGAUGGGCCCGCGGCCUAUCAGCUUGUUGGUGGGGUGAUGGCCUACCAAGGCGACGACGGGUAGCCGGCCUGAGAGGGUGACCGGCCACACUGGGACUGAGAUACGGCCCAGACUCCUACGGGAGGCAGCAGUGGGGGAUAUUGCACAAUGGGCGCAAGCCUGAUGCAGCGACGCCGCGUGAGGGAUGACGGCCUUCGGGUUGUAAACCUCUUUCAGCACAGACGAAGCGCAAGUGACGGUAUGUGCAGAAGAAGGACCGGCCAACUACGUGCCAGCCGCCGCAGUAA